RNAcentral lists this ribosomal RNA (400 nucleotides) under uncultured bacterium. RNAcentral's name for it is "bacterial SSU rRNA". It matches the Rfam family "Bacterial small subunit ribosomal RNA", at positions 355 to 772 of the family's 1533-position model. The record is from RNAcentral.
UGGGGAAUAUUGCACAAUGGGGGAAACCCUGAUGCAGCGACGCCGCGUGGAGGAAGAAGGUCUUCGGAUUGUAAACUCCUGUCCCAGGGGACGAUAAUGACGGUACCCUGGGAGGAAGCACCGGCUAACUACGUGCCAGCAGCCGCGGUAAAACGUAGGGUGCAAGCGUUGUCCGGAAUUACUGGGUGUAAAGGGAGCGCAGGCGGAUUGGCAAGUUGGGAGUGAAAUCUAUGGGCUCAACCCAUAAAUUGCUUUCAAAACUGUCAGUCUUGAGUGGUGUAGAGGUAGGCGGAAUUCCCGGUGUAGCGGUGGAAUGCGUAGAUAUCGGGAGGAACACCAGUGGCGAAGGCGGCCUACUGGGCACUAACUGACGCUGAGGCUCGAAAGCAUGGGUAGCAAA